UGGAGGGGAGCUCCCUGGAAGGGAAGCUGGGGGAAGGGGAGGGCGGCGGGGGGCGGGAGGUCGUCGGUGGCCUCUGAGAGCCCGCCCCUGUGCCCAGGUUGCCAAUGCCAAUGGCCCUGAGGGGCAGAACCACCGGUUGGAGCUCCACAUCUUCCCGGCCUCACCCGGGGCCUCACUCGGGGGUCCCGAGGGCGCCCACCCUGCAGCCGCCCCUGCUGGGUGCGUCCCCAGUCCCAGCGCCCUGGCGCCAGGCUAUGCGGAGCCGCUGAAGGGCGUCCCGCCAGAGAAGUUCAACCACACCGCCAUCCCCAAGGGCUACCGCUGCCCCUGGCAGGAGUUCGUCAGCUAUCGGGACUACCAGAGCGAUGGCCGAAGUCACACCCCCAGCCCCAACGACUACCGAAAUUUCAACAAGACCCCGGUGCCAUUUGGAGGAUCCCUCGUGGGGGGCACUUUUCCCAGGCUAGGCACCUCCUUCAUCCCGGAGCCCCUCAGUGGCUUGGAACUCCUCCGUCUCAGACCCAGCUUCAACAGAGUGGCCCAGGGCUGGGUCCGUAACCUCCCAGAGUCCGAGGAGCUGUAGUCCUAGCCUGAAUCUUCAGUUCCCCAGUCUUGGGGGCCUGGUAACAUCUGGAGCCAAGACUUGUAGACAGCGCUUCACAGUU
This 665-nucleotide small RNA is filed under the name Pongo abelii (Sumatran orangutan). RNAcentral's name for it is "retained intron". Lineage: Eukaryota; Metazoa; Chordata; Mammalia; Primates; Hominidae. The record is from RNAcentral.